This 421-nucleotide unclassified non-coding RNA is filed under the name uncultured Bartonella sp. Its description in RNAcentral is "partial 16S-23S ribosomal RNA intergenic spacer". The record is from RNAcentral. Lineage: Bacteria; Pseudomonadati; Pseudomonadota; Alphaproteobacteria; Hyphomicrobiales; Bartonellaceae.
UUGAUAAGCGUGAGGUCGGAGGUUCAAGUCCUCCCAGGCCCACCAAUUUAUGCUCGUUUUUUGCUUAUUCUUGAGCCUUAUGAAGCUUAAGCGUGUCAAAGCCUCUUUAAUCUUUGUUCAUAGUUUAAAGAUUUAAUUUUAUCUUUCAGAAAUUAUUUGUUAAAUUUAUUUCAUUGCAAAUUUAUCUCAUUACAUUUGUCCAAUAGUGCCUUUGUUAGAGAAUACCUUUGUUAAAGAGGAUUUUAACGUCCCUUCAAGGGUGCAGAUAAAUUUAAAGAAUAAAAAUCAAAUUUAAGCAAUACAAAUCAAAAUAAUAUUGAUUAAAAGAGGACAAGUCAUUCAAGUUGAUCAAUUUUCUUGAGAUUGAUUUGAGAGAGCAUUCUUUAGGGGCCGUAGCUCAGCUGGGAGAGCACCUGCUUUG